GUGUUGUAUGAAAGAAGAGGUUAGCACUCUCCUUGACAAGGAUGAAAGAGGUUCUCGGGCCUAACAGCUCACAUACGGUUAAGGCAUUGCCACCUACUUCAUGGCAUCUAACCACUGUUUUUU
RNAcentral lists this non-coding RNA (123 nucleotides) under Cervus hanglu yarkandensis (Yarkand deer). Lineage: Eukaryota; Metazoa; Chordata; Mammalia; Artiodactyla; Cervidae. The record is from RNAcentral.